GUCUACGGCCAUGACACCCUGAACAAGCCCGAUGUCUGAUCUCGGAAGCUAAGCAGGGUCAGGACUGGUUAGCACUUGGAUGGGAGACCAACUACGAAGACCAAGUGCUGUAGGCA
This 116-nucleotide ribosomal RNA is filed under the name Pteropus alecto (black flying fox). The record is from RNAcentral. Lineage: Eukaryota; Metazoa; Chordata; Mammalia; Chiroptera; Pteropodidae.